This 400-nucleotide ribosomal RNA is filed under the name uncultured soil bacterium. RNAcentral describes it as "bacterial SSU rRNA". It matches the Rfam family "Bacterial small subunit ribosomal RNA", at positions 26 to 417 of the family's 1533-position model. The record is from RNAcentral.
AGAUUGAACGCUGGCGGCAGGCCUAACACAUGCAAGUCGAGCGGUAGAGAGGUGCUUGCACCUCUUGAGAGCGGCGGACGGGUGAGUAAUGCCUAGGAAUCUGCCUAGUGGUGGGGGAUAACGUUCGGAAACGGACGCUAAUACCGCAUACGUCCUACGGGAGAAAGCGGGGGACCUUCGGGCCUCGCGCCAUUAGAUGAGCCUAGGUCGGAUUAGCUAGUUGGUGAGGUAAUGGCUCACCGAAGGCGACGAUCCGUAACUGGUCUGAGAGGAUGAUCAGUCACACUGGAACUGGAGACCACGGUCCAGACCUCCGUACGGGAGGCAGCAGGUGGGAAUAGUAGGACAAGUGGGACGAAAGCCUAGACUCCAGCCAUCGCCGCGUGUGUGAAGUAAGGUC